This 76-nucleotide transfer RNA is filed under the name Desulfobacteraceae bacterium. Its description in RNAcentral is "tRNA-Gly". It matches the Rfam family "tRNA". Rfam says of the family: Transfer RNA (tRNA) molecules are approximately 80 nucleotides in length. Their secondary structure includes four short double-helical elements and three loops (D, anti-codon, and T loops). Further hydrogen bonds mediate the characteristic L-shaped molecular structure. tRNAs have two regions of fundamental functional importance: the anti-codon, which is responsible for specific mRNA codon recognition, and the 3' end, to which the tRNAs corresponding amino acid is attached (by aminoacyl-tRNA synthetases). tRNAs cope with the degeneracy of the genetic code in two manners: having more than one tRNA (with a specific anti-codon) for a particular amino acid; and 'wobble' base-pairing, i.e. permitting non-standard base-pairing at the 3rd anti-codon position. Lineage: Bacteria; Pseudomonadati; Thermodesulfobacteriota; Desulfobacteria; Desulfobacterales; Desulfobacteraceae. The record is from RNAcentral.
GCGGGAAUAGCUCAGCUGGUAGAGCGCCACGUUGCCAACGUGGUUGUCGCGGGUUCAAGUCCCGUUUCCCGCUCCA